ACUCAAAGGAAUUGACGGGGGCCCGCACAAGCAGCGGAGCGUGUGGUUUAAUUCGAUGCAACACGCAGAACCUUACCUGGGCUUGACAUGGCCGGGCAAGCCGUGGAAACACGGCCCUCCUUCGGGACCGGGUCACAGAUGUUGCAUGGCUGUCGUCAGCUCGUGUCGUGAGAUGUUGGGUUAAGUCCCGCAACGAGCGCAACCCUCGUGUGAUGUUGUAUUUUUCAUCGCAGACUGCCCUCAAAAGGGGAGGAAGGUGGGGAUGACGUCAAGUCCGCAUGGCUCUUACGUCCAGGGCGACACACACGCUACAAUGGCUGGGACAAUGCGCUGCAACCGGGCAACCGGUAGCGAACCGCGAAACCCAGUCUCAGUUCGGAUAAUCGGCUGCAACCCGCCGGUUUGAAGACGGAGUUGCUAGUAACCGCAUGACAGCAGAGUGCGGUGAAUACGUUCCCGGGCCUUGUACACACCGCCCGU
This 480-nucleotide ribosomal RNA is filed under the name uncultured bacterium. RNAcentral's name for it is "partial 16S ribosomal RNA". It matches the Rfam family "Bacterial small subunit ribosomal RNA", at positions 899 to 1397 of the family's 1533-position model. The record is from RNAcentral.